Molecule: ribosomal RNA, 200 nt
Filed under: uncultured bacterium
Lineage: Bacteria
Description: partial 16S ribosomal RNA
Rfam family: Bacterial small subunit ribosomal RNA
Source: RNAcentral
AAUCAACGCUGGCGGCGCGCCUAACACAUGCAAGUCGAACGAGAAAGUGGAGCAAUCCAUGAGUACAGUGGCGUACGGGUGAGUAACACGUGGGUAAUCUACCCUUUGGUGGGGAAUAACUCUGGGAAACCGGAGCUAAUACCGCAUAAUCCUGAGAAGGAAAAGCAGCAAUGCGCCGAAGGGGGAGCCCGCGGCCGAUU